RNAcentral lists this ribosomal RNA (460 nucleotides) under uncultured bacterium. RNAcentral describes it as "partial 16S ribosomal RNA". It matches the Rfam family "Bacterial small subunit ribosomal RNA", at positions 338 to 795 of the family's 1533-position model. The record is from RNAcentral.
CCUACGGGUGGCAGCAGUGAGGAAUAUUGGUCAAUGGGCUUACGCCUGAACCAGCCAAGUCGCGUGAGGGAAGACUGCCCUAUGGGUUGUAAACCUCUUUUGUCAGGGAGCAAGUGGCGCUACGUGUAGCGUUAUCGAGAGGACCUGAAGAAAAAGCAGCGGCGAACUCGGUGCCAGCAGCCGCGGUAAUACGGAGGCUGCGAGCGUGCGCCGGAUUGCUUGGGUUUAAAGGGUGCGUAGGCGGAAUGCCAAGUCAGCGGUAAAAUCGCGGGGCUCCACCUCGCUCCGCCGUUGAAACUGGCGUUCUUGAGUGGGCGAGAAGUAUGCGGAAUGCGUGGUGUAGUGGUGAAAUGCAUAGCUAUCACGCAGAACUCCGAUUGCGAAGGCAGCAUACCGGCGCCCACCUGACGCUGAAGCACGAUAGCGUGGGUAUCGAACAGGAUUAGAUACCCCUGUAGUC